RNAcentral lists this ribosomal RNA (253 nucleotides) under uncultured bacterium. RNAcentral describes it as "partial 16S ribosomal RNA". It matches the Rfam family "Bacterial small subunit ribosomal RNA", at positions 524 to 776 of the family's 1533-position model. The record is from RNAcentral.
UACGGAGGGUGCAAGCGUUGUUCGGAAUUACUGGGCGUAAAGCGCGUGUAGGCGGCUUGGCAAGUCGAAUGUGAAAGCCCCGGGCUUAACCCGGGAACUGCAUCCGAAACUGCCUCGCUAGAGUCUCGGAGAGGAAGGCAGAAUUCCCAGUGUAGGGGUGAAAUCCGUAGAUACUGGGAGGAAUACCGGCAGCGAAGGCGGCCUUCUGGACGAUGACUGACGCUGAGACGCGAAAGCGUGGGGAGCAAACAGG